GGUCUUAGCUUGCUAAGGCCGAUGGCGACCGGCGCACGGGUGAGUAACACGUAUCCAACCUGCCGUCUACUCUUGGACAGCCUUCUGAAAGGAAGAUUAAUACAAGAUGGCAUCAUGAGUCCACAUGUUCACAUGAUUAAAGGUAUUCCGGUAGACGAUGGGGAUGCGUUCCAUUAGAUAGUAGGCGGGGUAACGGCCCACCUAGUCUUCGAUGGAUAGGGGUUCUGAGAGGAAGGUCCCCCACAUUGGAACUGAGACACGGUCCAAACUCCUACGGGAGGCAGCAGUGAGGAAUAUUGGUCAAUGGGCGAGAGCCUGAACCAGCCAAGUAGCGUGAAGGAUGACUGCCCUAUGGGUUGUAAACUUCUUUUAUAAAGGAAUAAAGUCGGGUAUGUAUACCCGUUUGCAUGUACUUUAUGAAUAAGGAUCGGCUAACUCCGUGCCAGCAGCCGCGGUAAUACGGAGGAUCCGAGCGUU
RNAcentral lists this ribosomal RNA (477 nucleotides) under uncultured Bacteroidales bacterium. RNAcentral's name for it is "bacterial SSU rRNA". It matches the Rfam family "Bacterial small subunit ribosomal RNA", at positions 71 to 542 of the family's 1533-position model. The record is from RNAcentral. Lineage: Bacteria; Pseudomonadati; Bacteroidota; Bacteroidia; Bacteroidales.